GACCCCAGGUCAGGCGGGAUUACCCGCUGAGUUUA
Molecule: ribosomal RNA, 35 nt
Filed under: Gentiana angustifolia
Lineage: Eukaryota; Viridiplantae; Streptophyta; Magnoliopsida; Gentianales; Gentianaceae
Also listed under: 2 other names
Description: partial 26S ribosomal RNA
Source: RNAcentral